UACGAAGGGGGCUAGCGUUGCUCGGAAUCACUGGGCGUAAAGCGCACGUAGGCGGCUUUUUAAGUCAGGGGUGAAAUCCUGGGGCUCAACUCCAGAACUGCCUUUGAUACUGAGAAGCUUGAGUCCGGGAGAGGUGAGUGGAACUGCGAGUGUAGAGGUGAAAUUCGUAGAUAUUCGCAAGAACACCAGUGGCGAAGGCGGCUCACUGGCCCGGUACUGACGCUGAGGUGCGAAAGCCAGGGGAGCAAACGGG
This 253-nucleotide ribosomal RNA is filed under the name uncultured bacterium. RNAcentral's name for it is "partial 16S ribosomal RNA". It matches the Rfam family "Bacterial small subunit ribosomal RNA", at positions 524 to 776 of the family's 1533-position model. The record is from RNAcentral.